This 240-nucleotide ribosomal RNA is filed under the name uncultured bacterium. Its description in RNAcentral is "partial 16S ribosomal RNA". It matches the Rfam family "Bacterial small subunit ribosomal RNA", at positions 15 to 244 of the family's 1533-position model. The record is from RNAcentral.
GAUCCUGGCUCAGGAUGAACGCUAGCUACAGGCUUAACACAUGCGAGUCGAGGGGAAACGACAUCGAAAGCUUGCUUUUGAUGGGCGUCGACCGGCGCACGGGUGAGUAACGCGUAUCCAACCUGCCCACCACUUGGGAAUAACCUUGCGAAAGUAAGACUAAUGCCCAAUGAUAUCCCACGAAGGCAUCCGAAUGGGAUUAAAGAUUUAUCGGUGAUGGAUGGGGAUGCGUCUGAUUAG